AAUUUUUUUUUUAAAAAAAAAUAAGCUAAUUAAGCUAAUGAACUCAUACUUCAUUUAUAAAGGUUUAAUCCUUUUUUUU
Molecule: transfer RNA, 79 nt
Filed under: Hydropsyche orris
Lineage: Eukaryota; Metazoa; Arthropoda; Insecta; Trichoptera; Hydropsychidae
Description: tRNA-Met
Rfam family: tRNA (bases 15-79)
About the family: Transfer RNA (tRNA) molecules are approximately 80 nucleotides in length.
Source: RNAcentral